RNAcentral lists this transfer RNA (45 nucleotides) under Callosciurus caniceps concolor. RNAcentral's name for it is "partial tRNA-Trp". The record is from RNAcentral. Lineage: Eukaryota; Metazoa; Chordata; Mammalia; Rodentia; Sciuridae.
AGGAAUUUAGGUUAAUUUAGACCAAGAGCCUUCAAAGCCCUAAGC